Poecilia latipinna (sailfin molly) is the source of this 739-nucleotide long non-coding RNA. RefSeq lists it as uncharacterized. The transcript is spliced from 3 exons. The record is from RefSeq and is a predicted model, not a curated record. NCBI's taxonomy places the organism in Eukaryota, Metazoa, Chordata, Actinopteri, Cyprinodontiformes, Poeciliidae.
CGGACCACCAGGGGGCGGCCGCGGACCACAGUUUGAGAAAGACUGCUGUAGAGUUAAUAUUCUGCACAUUGCGGAUACAUAAAGUUUACCAUGCUGCUGCUGCUGCUGUUGUCCUUUGCCGCCUCGGGCAAUCUGUUGGCCACCACUUCUCAAGACUUUCUCAUUGAGAUUCAUAGAAACGUGUACCAUUUUGGCCUCAUUCACUUCAGACCUUUCGACCUGAUGUCACACAGAUUGGUUUUGGUUCAGACUCGUCUUGGCCCACUGAGCCGACGGUGAGGAGCUGAAUUACUCCCUCUGAGAACAGAAAAUACCAGGAGACCCUCUGAUCACAGCUCUCUGCUGCAUCUGAUGAGGUCUGGAGGGAGAGCUGCUGCAUGCUAAUGGCAAGAGACGCAAGAAACAGAGAGAGAAAAUGCAGGAAGAGAGGGCGCUAAAUCUGAGCUGCGUUUCAACAGGACGAUCUUUCAGGAGCCCUUAGAGUCCAACCUGAACUCAAGAGUUCAGAUGGCAGGAAGAGGAAGUGUAGCUCCUGGCAGAUGUCAUGACCUAUUUCAUACUGAUUAACUUUUACACAACUUCUUACAGGACUCAAGGGAUGUGAAGUACUUCUUACAGAGAAAAGCUGUCAGUUAAAGGGGACCGAUUAUGCAAAAUUUACAUUUUGGACACCUUUGUACUUCCAUUUUCCUCUACAAACAGUUCAAGUGCUUAAGAAAAACAAAAACACCCAGCCGUC